GGGCUUACGUUUGUAUCUCUCUUGCUUCGUCCUGCGUCACUUCCAUAGGUUAUUGCAACUCUACAAAGCUUCUUGCCUGAUCUCUUAUAUUCUAGGGGUGUGAUAUCUACACACCCUAUUUUACUUCUCACACAACUUUUUAAUUUUCGGACGUCGGAUCAGAUGAACUGAAGAAAAUCAACAAACAGAAAGUAUCAAGGGGUGUGUGAGAAGUAAAAUGGGAUGUGUGGAUAGCACACCCCAUAUUCUAAAAUCAAUUGAGAAUUGAGAAAUUAUGAAUAGUUCUACAUUUCAACGCACAUUGUUGUUUUGAUUUUGUUCUGAGGUCGAGGGAGGAGGCUAACUAUUGAGGUGUGCACCGUGAUCAUACAGGGUUGAAACCGCAGCUGUUGAGGCGUCUUGCAGAGGCUUACGCGUGUUGUCAUGAAAGGCAGACUUUAUUGUAGGCGGACUCAAACCGAGUCCCAAGAAAUGCUAGAGUUGUAGAGGUUCUUG
Molecule: long non-coding RNA, 495 nt
Filed under: Malus domestica (apple)
Lineage: Eukaryota; Viridiplantae; Streptophyta; Magnoliopsida; Rosales; Rosaceae
Description: long non-coding RNA (MDOM_LNC003386)
Source: RNAcentral